Molecule: long non-coding RNA, 1551 nt
Organism: Homo sapiens (human)
Lineage: Eukaryota; Metazoa; Chordata; Mammalia; Primates; Hominidae
Gene: MIR100HG
Product: mir-100-let-7a-2-mir-125b-1 cluster host gene
Source: Ensembl
GGGACCCUUGAUACAAGGCUUUCAUAGACCAGCCGGUGCUGAUGGGGUCCGGGACUUGACGAUGGCGCCUGCUCGUUCCUGUUGUGUUCUAUCUGAGGCAUGAUUUUCUUUCGUUUUUGGGAGGUAGAGAGCACGGGGCAGAGGUUGCACCUGACACAUUAGAACUCCGUUGUCACUGCUGUGGCUGUUAUUCCCCUCGGCAAGAGCCAAGGAGCAAACAGGACGUGAAGAUCCCGGUGUUACACAUCCAAUCGUUCACCUCCUUCCAAGACUAUGACAUUCCAGGAAACCUUCACUGCUAAGAGGAACUAAGAUCUAGAGUAUCUCCUCGAGGAAGUACAACUGACUUGUCUUUGGACAAAAUUGAGAAGAACUCAUAAACUUGGCUUCCUCGCUUCUGCUCCUCAGACGCGCGUGGAUGAUUUGAAGAUAUUAGCCUAACAAGAUGGAAGCAGGUUUAAAAUUUUACAUAAGAAGUUACCUUUUUCAGAUACAGUUAAGCUAAUGAUCUCGAGAGGAUAUCGUCCUGGAUAAGGGUGGAGCCUACGCCCAAAAACAAGAUUACCUGAAAGAGAAAAGAAAGGGGGAAAACACACAGAGAUACAGUCGGGGAGGCCACAUGAAGAUGGAGGCAGAGACAGGAGUGAUGAGCCUGCAAGCCAAGGAAUGCCAAGGGCUGCCAGCAGCCAUGAGAAGCUGAGAGACACAGAGAACGAGUCCUCUGCCAGAGCCUCCAGAAGGAACUAACCCUGUCAAUACCUUGAUUUCGGACUUCUGGACUCCAGAACUAUAACCCUCCUUCCUCCACCUCACAAAAACUCACAAGCUGCAACCCUUCUGAUGUCCACUCCCACACAAACCAGCUUCAGGCCUUUUUCAAGUGGAUGCUGUGGGGCACCACCUCCUUGAGGACCAAGGCACUCCAGCUGCCAGGAAUUUGGCUGCUAACCUCACACAGCUGAGCCUUCCAUGAAAAUUGCUCUCUGCCAAAGAGAACUUCCUAGUCCAAGGUCAUGUCUACUCUCCAGAGAUGUGACUGGAGUGAUUUGCACCCGGAUGCCUAGACUCGCCAUCUGCUCAAAGACUGCUCAGAAAGCCCUCCCAUGCAUUCCCCUGCUGCAUACCAGCCCACUCUGCCUGCAGCUGCUGUCUGCAGGACUUCAUAUCUAUGCCACACUGUGUAAAAGCUGUGCUUCAAGAAAUCACAAAAACAUUUUCCUGCACCUACUACACAGCCUGAGUGCGGCAUAAGUUGACCUUGCUUGCUAAGAAAUGGGGCAAGAAAUGCUUUUUUGUGUGUGUCAUGUCUGUUUGUUUUUCAAUUAAGAGAGGAAAGCAUUAGGCAGAUGGAAUGUACAUGUGAGGAUGAGGAGACAGAAAACAAGUAGCCCUUUCCAUCAAGAUAGAGGGUUUUCUGGGGUUGCUGGCUAUUGAAUGUCACUCCUGAUUUCUCUUUCCAAGGCACUGUACCACCAGCCUACUGAGAUUGUGUGGGAGCUUUCAUGGGGGUUGUAUUUCACUGAUGAAAAUAAAUUUUUUGCAUAAUGUGAA